AAUUUGUGCAUAAGUAAAUACACACACACACACACACACACACACAUAUACGCACACACAGAGCAUAUAUAGGUCAUGCCGCACACUACGGAAAAUCCGAAGUAAAUAGCGAAAGGAACAAAGACUUUGGUCCGUUUAGUCAUCGCGUCGCCGAGCGUAUAUCAAUCUCCGGCGUUCUCUCAUCGCGUCCACGAUAGAUACACGUUAUUGACACCGCGAUUCAGUUGGCGCCAUAAUUCGUUUGAUCUCGCGGCUGUUGUCUCAGAUCGCCAAUCGGGAUUCGAGUUCGGGCAUUUUCGGCGAUCGGUGAAGGAAGUGGAAAUCGUGGAAGUUCGACGAGACCAGUCAGUCAAAAAUCGACCACAGUGCCGAAUGUUUCGAGCUCGCUCGCGAAUUUAAUCUAAGUACGUUACGAAUCUAAAUGUGUUACGAAAAGAUAGCUCAGGCAAUUACACUCAAGGCGUUGCUACAGUAGCUCAAGAUGUUUGCCCCAGGCGUAGCUACCGCGUGGCUCAGGAUAUUACUCCCACAGCGUCGCCACGAAUCCGGGCAUCUGUCCUUUAAACGUUCCGAGUGUAAUUCGUUCGUAAAAAACGUAAAUUAUGAAUAUUUUUCAUAACAAGAUUUUAUUAAGCGGUACUAAGCUUUGGUAUUGCAAGAUUGUUUCUUUUCAUAUUCGAUAUACUGAGGAGGAUAUUGUAACACUGCACAUAAAACUUAUCCGCAAGGGGAACAGCCUUUAUCAAAGAUAUUCAGACAUCGUCUCUGGAAGUUCCUGUGAGGAACUCAAGAAUAGAGGCUCUCAAGGCAAAAGAUCGACAACUCCUCACACGCGCUCGAGCUUUAGCCACGCAAGUCCUGCUCUGAGCCAACACAGGAAUAAGAGUAACCCCUUGUCGUCAGGCUGAAUGAUGGCCCUAGAUAUCAGAUCUUGUUCGCCUAAUGGAGGCUCACCAUCGUUCUCAGAUUCAAGAUCUCCGGCCUCCAAGCCUGUACCUUAAGUACGUGCCUUCACCGU
Molecule: long non-coding RNA, 1018 nt
Organism: Acromyrmex echinatior (Panamanian leafcutter ant)
Lineage: Eukaryota; Metazoa; Arthropoda; Insecta; Hymenoptera; Formicidae
Source: RefSeq, a predicted model, not a curated record